CAUGAAGUCGGAAUUGCUAGUAAUCGUAGGUCAGCAUACUGCCGUGAAUACGUUCCCGGGCCUUGUACACACCGCCCGUCACACCAUGAGAGUUGGGAAUACCCGAAGCCUGUGAGCUAACUUUUAGAGGCAGCAGUCGAAGGUAGAAUCAAUGAUUGGGGUGAAGUCGUAACAAGGUACC
RNAcentral lists this ribosomal RNA (181 nucleotides) under uncultured bacterium. RNAcentral describes it as "partial 16S ribosomal RNA". It matches the Rfam family "Bacterial small subunit ribosomal RNA", at positions 1319 to 1500 of the family's 1533-position model. The record is from RNAcentral.